RNAcentral lists this ribosomal RNA (492 nucleotides) under uncultured bacterium. Its description in RNAcentral is "partial 16S ribosomal RNA". It matches the Rfam family "Bacterial small subunit ribosomal RNA", at positions 29 to 507 of the family's 1533-position model. The record is from RNAcentral.
AGUGAACGCUGGCGGUAGGCCUAACACAUGCCAGUCGAACGGCAGCACAGUAAGAGCUUGCUCUUACGGGUGGCGAGUGGCGGACGGGUGAGGAAUACAUCGGAAUCUACUUUUUCGUGGGGGAUAACGUAGGGAAACUUACGCUAAUACCGCAUACGACCUACGGGUGAAAGCAGGGGAUCUUCGGACCUUGCGCGAUUGAAUGAGCCGAUGUCGGAUUAGCUAGUUGGCGGGGUAAAGGCCCACCAAGGCGACGAUCCGUAGCUGGUCUGAGAGGAUGAUCAGCCACACUGGAACUGAGACACGGUCCAGACUCCUACGGGAGGCAGCAGUGGGGAAUAUUGGACAAUGGGCGCAAGCCUGAUCCAGCCAUACCGCGUGGGUGAAGAAGGCCUUCGGGUUGUAAAGCCCUUUUGUUGGGAAAGAAAUGCAGCAGGUUAAUACCCCGCUGUUCUGACGGUACCCAAAGAAUAAGCACCGGCUAACUUCGUG